GAUGAACGCUGGCGGCGUGCCUAAUACAUGCAAGUCGAGCGAACGGACGAGAAGCUUGCUUCCCUGAUGUUAGCGGCGGACGGGUGAGUAACACGUGGAUAACCUACCUAUAAGACUGGGAUAACUUCGGGAAACCGGAGCUAAUACCGGAUAAUAUUUUGAACCGCAUGGUUCAAAAGUGAAAGACGGUCUUGCUGUCACUUAUAGAUGGAUCCGCGCUGCAUUAGCUAGUUGGUAAGGUAACGGCUUACCAAGGCAACGAUGCAUAGCCGACCUGAGAGGGUGAUCGGCCACACUGGAACUGAGACACGGUCCAGACUCCUACGGGAGGCAGCAGUAGGGAAUCUUCCGCAAUGGGCGAAAGCCUGACGGAGCAACGCCGCGUGAGUGAUGAAGGUCUUCGGAUCGUAAAACUCUGUUAUUAGGGAAGAACAUAUGUGUAAGUAACUGUGCACAUCUUGACGGUACCUAAUCAGAAAGCCACGGCUAAGUACGUG
This 497-nucleotide ribosomal RNA is filed under the name uncultured bacterium. RNAcentral describes it as "partial 16S ribosomal RNA". It matches the Rfam family "Bacterial small subunit ribosomal RNA", at positions 28 to 507 of the family's 1533-position model. The record is from RNAcentral.